CAGGCCCCAGUUCUCCAUGGCUGCAUACGGAUGCUUCGGCACUGCCAGGAGAUCUGCACACAAUGAGGAAGAUCCAAGCUCAACGACGGGAAAACAGGAAUGAUUGUAAUACAAAUGAACAAAGAUGAUGAUGAAGAUGGCGUGACAAGCUCAUUCAAGAAGCAAAGAACAAUGAAAACAGCAAAGCAAAGACUCAUACGGUAAUUACACGAAUGAUGCUCUUCAAGAGAGAGACAAAACUACCAUGGUAAUCAGAGAUGAACUUCAACUCAACCACCUUCUGUCAGAACUUUCAAAGCUUGAUCGAUACCAGAGGUCUAGACACCUCAAGUCCCAGAACCAGUAAGUAAAUAUGGUAAUCCUUUGGUAUAUAAUAUAUCAAAGUACCUUAACAGUACUUUUUGUAAAGGAAACAAAGAGAGCUUGAGGUAAAGAGACAAACAUGUAAUUUACUACAAUUUUAACUGUAACAAAUAGUCAUUAUAACCAGGUAUAUAUGACCUUCUAUAACACAAAUAAUAGUAUAUUUAUUCAUUAUCACAAGAGCAAGUGUGUUGUUUACCGAAUAUACAAUAAUAUAAAAAAAAAAAAAAAUUGCAAGAGUGAAACUUACUUUGUUUUUGCUUCAUUAACUAAAAAAAAAACAGCUGCACAACUUAGACAUGCAUUCUAACUUACACACAAAGUAGUGCCAUUCCUGAAUGAAUAAUUUUUUUCAACAAAUCAGUUAGUUUUGAGUGAAUGAUUCAAUGAUUCACUCAUAAUGGCAGUCACUUUAUUCGUUCCUGAAUGAAUCAUGCUGCAUCCCAAUUCACCUACUUAUACUAUGCCCUAAAAGUUUGUACUCUUUUUGUGAACAAAAAGUACAUACUUUUGUGUGUAGCAAAAGAGUAGACAAGCUUUGGGACAUACUAUCAUGUCAUACAAUUGCGUCUUUGCUCUCUGUCGCAUUCUGACACGCAUGCUGUCACCAUUUAAAAAAAAAAAAAACUGUCACUGUAAACUGACCUGUCAAUCAUCUUAAAUCCUCCACAUUUCAUUUCAUUUUAUUUCCUACCGUGUCGGCAGUAGCACGUUGAUCUGCAGUCGUGGGUCUUUCAACUCUCAUCAUAUUAAUGCAGAAUGGUGCAUUUAAAAGUUAAUCUUUAUAAAAGUCCACAUUGUUUUUGCAGAUGAAAUAUAACACGAAUAACAUUAAAUAAAUAUUUUUAUCAGGUUAAACUGAUUAGUCGCUCAAACCUUUAUUUAAACCUCUCACUGUCGGUCGUGCAUAUCUGCCAUGUUUUGUAGUAUUUUAACACUUUUUUUCUCAUGUUUGUAGUUCUGAAUUGAAUCCUCCAAAGCGAAAGGGUUGUGGGCAAUAUUAGCCUUUAUACUUCGAAAAUCUACCAGAAAAAGUAGACCAUCCGGGAUGUAGACCAUAUUUAGGAUGGAUAGUAUGGACAUUGGGAAGCAGGAUCAGUGUUUUAAACAAAUCGCCUGAGUGAACGAUUCAAUGACUCACCCAUAAUGGCAGUCACUUUAUUCGUUCCUGAAUGAAUCAGUGUUUAAAAACAAAUUAGUUGAGUGAAUGAUUCAAUGAUUCACUCAUAA
Long non-coding RNA from Ctenopharyngodon idella (grass carp), 1593 nucleotides. RefSeq lists it as uncharacterized. The transcript has 3 exons. The record is from RefSeq and is a predicted model, not a curated record. NCBI's taxonomy places the organism in Eukaryota, Metazoa, Chordata, Actinopteri, Cypriniformes, Xenocyprididae.